Molecule: ribosomal RNA, 523 nt
Filed under: uncultured bacterium
Lineage: Bacteria
Description: bacterial SSU rRNA
Rfam family: Bacterial small subunit ribosomal RNA
Source: RNAcentral
GAUCAUGGCUCAGGAUGAACGCUAGCUACAGGCUUAACACAUGCAAGUCGAGGGGCAGCAUGAAGGUAGCAAUACCUUUGAUGGCGACCGGCGCACGGGUGCGUAACACGUAUCCAAUCCUACCCAUGGCUCGGGAAUAGCCUUUCGAAAGAAAGAUUAAUGCCCGAUGGCCUUGCGAAGAGACAUCUCUUUGUAAAGUAAAGAUUUAUCGGCGAUGGAUGAGGAUGCGUCCGAUUAGCUUGUUGGCGGGGUAACGGCCCACCAAGGCGACGAUCGGUAGGGGUUCUGAGAGGAACGGUCCCCCACACUGGAACUGAGACACGGUCCAGACUCCGUACGGGAGGCAGCAGUGAGGAAUAUUGGUCAAGUGGGCGAAGGCCUGAACCAACGCCAAGUAGCGUGGAGGGAGGACCGGCCCGUACGGGUUAGUAAACCUUCUUUUGGUUCGGAAAUAAGUCGGGACGCGUCCCCGUUUGUAUGUACCUUACGAAUAAGCAUCGGCCAAUUCCGUGCCAGCCGCUGC